UGGGGGAGGAAACACAUCGUGCAAUGUUUGAGUGAUUUUCCACUGCGGUCUAUAUUGGGAUGCAGCUCCGGCUCUCUGCAACAGGGCCACCAACAUCUUUACUCAGGAACAACAGGUGUUUUAGCAGAAAGUAAAACAUUAGAUGGACAAAAGGACAAUUAUAAUAUACGUUUCUUGGAAUUCCUUGCUCAACACUGACUGACGCUGGACACCCUAAAUUCUCCAAGAUUUGGGAGAAUAACAGCAGUACUGAACAAUUACAGGGCACCGACUGCACUAAUACUGACCAUUCCAGCAGGGUCAGGGUGUCAGGAUCCUUCACAUUGCCUACCAGCACUGUCAUCUCCCAGUGGGAGCCAGGCACAGCACGAUCAGAUGACCAGGGAGGCAGCAGGAAAACAGGUGAUCUCGCUCUUCUUCCCUCUCUGUGUGUACAAGGAGCCCGGCAUAAAUGAGCUUUACAACAGCCACCAGCCAUUGCUUAUUUUUCUCUGAGCAAUCAUCAAUAUCAGCAUCAAGUGGUGCAGUGGCUCCACAAUGAGUCGUGGCAGCAGAGUGAGCCCAGCAUGCAAACAUUUUGGCUAAUUUAAAAUCCUCACGCAGCCGAAUCAAACAUGACAAGACGAUGGCAAGAAGAGAGGCUAUUAUCCCAAAUGAGAGUUGGUAGAUGGCUGAAAUUGGUUUGAGUGGCAGAGACAAAAGAGGGGCAAAGAAGAGAAAUAACUGAGAAUGAUAAUCCCAGAUAAGACAGGCUGCUAUACAUACGGGUGUACCAACAAAAAGACACACACACACACACUCAGAGCAGAAACACAAUUGCUUUCAAGCUGUAGUACUGGAUGGAUCAAGCAGGCAACCAGCUUAUAAUAAAAAUAAAUACUAAAUAAAAUUACAUAUGAUAAGCAUUUAUUCAGUCACAGGUAAAGAUAUAUUUUAUUUAAAAAAAUAAAAAGUGCUACUUCAUUAAACACACCAAUGAUAAGAAAACAAAACAGCAUCAUUACUGAUAUGGAGAAAGAUUUUAGUAAUAGAAGAUCAAACCAGCCACAACAUUCCCUUAUGCCAAAGCCUAAUGAAGAGCAAGGUCUUAACUCUCUCCAAUUCUAUGAAGGCUGAGAGAGGUAAGAAGUUGCAGAAGAAAAGAUGGGAGCCAGCACAGGUUGGUUUAUGAGGUUUAAGAACCCAUCCCCAUGACAUAAAAGUGCAACGUGAAGCAGCAAGUGCUCAUUUCAAAGCUGCAGCAAAUUAUCCAGAGAAAAUCCUACUAGGAUCAUUGAUGAAGGUGGCUACACUAAACAAGAGAUUUUUAACUCUUUCUCUAGAAAUUUCUAAUUUUUAGAAUACUAAAACUGUCAUUUCAUGUUCGAAUAAAUGUGCUGAUGUCUAAUAGCCAUGACUAUAAGGAAGAAGGGAAGUUGCUGAUUUAGGACUGGCAAAUUUUGAGUUAAAGAUAGGCCAGUGAGUUGAUGCUGAGAAUCCAAGAUACCUUGGUCAUCAAGAGAAUCCAGGGGAGAGGGCUGGAGAUGAGGAAUUCUGCAUGCCAGGCGACAGGGAGCUAAAAAAGCAGGCUGAUGGGAUCCUGAGCCACGAACCUUGACCACAGCUUACGGUGCUGUGGCUUCCAGCCUGUGGAAAGAAGACACAUGGGGAGCUGUCUUUUUUAAGAUUAAGAACUUAAAAGGGCUGAAAUGAAUUUUGUCUAAUAGCUAUGGGUGCAGACUUUUCACAAAGUAGGUUACAAGGUCAGCCAGCUUUCAGAAGCUGUACAUUGUGAGGUGUUUUUGUCGUCGUCAUUCCAAUAGAGAGAGGAGAUUUAGAGUGGCAUGCAGCGAGAGCCCAAAAUGCAUGUAGCUGAAAGUCUCCCUACCACAGCGUACGCUUGGGAGAUGAGCUUUUCUUUAGUCUGUUCCCCACAAUCACGUCUUAGAUAACUGCACAUGAGAAGGCAUGAAAUGGAGAUUCAAGCCUCCAUGACAGCUGGCUCUUGCAUUCUGUCUGCACGCAGCUGCUGAAACACCUUUUUCUUGCCUUAGUCCUCCUCUUAGCCAAGCACCUGAAGCCAGCAACUGCAAGGCAAGAGUGAGAUCAUUAUGUGUUCACUCAUACCAUACAUUCUCAAUAUCAGGUAAAAACUGGUUCUUACGUUGGUAACGAUGAAACAGGCUCUAGUGUGGCAACAAAAAUUGGGUUUAAUUGGUUUUUCAAUCUCCCAGUGUUGUCUUUAAUACAUGAAGAUCACACCACUGACAAUUAGCAUUUAUACACGUUGUCAUUUUUCCCUAGUUUUGAUAACGCCUUCGAAACACUGACACUCCCUUUUCUGAUACUGUAGUGACUAGAGGCACACAAGGGUAAGACAUUUAAUGAAUUUUAGAGGAAUACAGUGAUUCUUUUUCUUUCUUUCUUUUUUUUUUUUGAGGAGUUGUCUCACUCUGUCACCCAGGGUAGAGUGCAGUGGUGUGAUCUCAACUCACUGCAACCUCCACCUCCCAGGUUCAAGCCAUUCUCCUGCCUCAGCCUCCCGAGUAGCUGGGACUACAGGUGCACACCACCACACCUAGCUAAUUUUUAAAUAUUUUCAGUAGACACAGGGUUUCACGGUGUUAGCUUCCCAAAGUGCUGGGAUUACAGGCAUGAGCCACCACGCCCUGUUCAGUGAUUUUGUUUUUUAAGAGGAUAAACAACUGGCCUCGCCGGGAUCAAAUUCCUGACUUUAGCCUCAACUCACCAUGCUCUAAGCAAGUAAAUUUACCUUAAAUAACAACUGUUUAAGGUGAAAAUAAUUGUUAAGUAAUUAUAUAGGCAUACCUCGGGGAAAAUAUGGGUUUGGCUCCAGUCCAC
Long non-coding RNA from Callithrix jacchus (white-tufted-ear marmoset), 2841 nucleotides. RefSeq lists it as uncharacterized. The record is from RefSeq and is a predicted model, not a curated record. NCBI's taxonomy places the organism in Eukaryota, Metazoa, Chordata, Mammalia, Primates, Cebidae.